RNAcentral lists this long non-coding RNA (1036 nucleotides) under Anser cygnoides (Swan goose). RNAcentral's name for it is "lncRNA (ENSACDG00005016006.1)". Lineage: Eukaryota; Metazoa; Chordata; Aves; Anseriformes; Anatidae. The record is from RNAcentral.
UUCAAUAUUAUCUGCACCGAGCUCUCUUUUCCCCAGCACAGUGAUGUAACCGUUCCCUGGCUGUGAAAUGCUGGCUGAGACAAGGUACUGGCAGUUUUUAAAGACAGUUUUUGAGAUUAGCUUCUGCCUCUCCUCCUGCAUCGCUCACCCUGAUUGUUGGUACUUGCUGGUUUCUCUCAUAAGAAAACCCCAACGAACCCCAACGCCUUCUCCCAGCUACACAACAAGACAGAUGACUCUUGCACAUUAACACCCAGCAGAAAUAUGCUUUUCUUAAAUGGAGACACCAGCUGCGCAGGGAGACAUAGCAUCUCUUAGGAGAACAGCUGAUAGAGUAGGAAAAAGGAGAUCGACACUUGGAUUAAAAAGCCCCUGAGAUCUGCUUCAGCAAAGAGGUAAGACCUCCAAAAUAACACAGUUUGCAAAGUGUUUCAAACACUUUGUCCCCGUGCCACCCAGCCCCACGUGCAGGGUCCUCCUCCAGCAUUUUGCUGCUCACCUCGAUUGUAUUUUUCACAUAUCUGGUGCUUAGCUGUACUUUUCUCCAGCGCAUCCUCUCACUCCAUGCCUGUGUAUGUUUACAGCCUGCUCUGAGAAUGAUUUACAUUAAAACCCCAGUGUUAACACUGUGGAGCCUAUUGCAUGGAAAAGUCCAGAGCCAUAAAGCAUUUACAACAUAGCAAAAAUGGUUUCCUAAAUCUCUGGCUUGCCUCAAGAUAUGGAAGAGCCUAUUUUUUCACUUUGUCCUCUGGAUCUGUUUUUUGCUCCUUUUCUCCGGCUGAGUAGCUCCACUGUAAUCUUGGAGGAAUGAAUCAUUAUCCUGCCUUGAUAAGAAGGGCAGAACCACUCCCUCAGCAUGUAAAAUUGAAGUCCUAUUUGAUACAGGAACUGUGAUACUCUUUAUACAUUUCUUUCAGUGAUGACAUGGUUUAAAAAUAUUAAAGGAGCUAAAGAUGUUAAAGUGUCUGGAUGAUGGCAACAUCUUUGAUAAGUUAAUUUUGUAUUCAGAACCAAUAAAGCACUGGUCAAAGAGACA